CAACUGCUUCCGGUUGCAUUGAGGGGGCUUCUACCGGAAAACGUUCGAUUAGCCAUUGUGAAGCUAUGUGCAUUUCUCAAUGCAAUCUCUCAGAAGGUAAUCGAUCCAGAAAUCAUACCAAGGUUACAGAAUAAUUUGGUGCAAUGUCUUGUCAGUUUCGAGUUGGUGUUCCCACCAUCCUUCUUCAACAUCACGAAGCACGUCCUAGUUCACCUAUGCGAAGAGAUUAACGUUUUGGGUCCUGUAUUUCUAGACAAUAUGUUCCCCUUUGAGAGGUUCAUGGGAGUCUUAAAGAAAUAUGUUCAUAACCGUGCUAGGCCAGAAGGAAGCAUCUCCAAGGGCCAUCAAAGUGAGGAGGUCAUUGAGUUUUGUAUUGACUUUAUUCCUGACCUUAAGCCGAUUUGUGUU
RNAcentral lists this ribosomal RNA (408 nucleotides) under Triticum aestivum (bread wheat). RNAcentral describes it as "partial small subunit ribosomal RNA". Lineage: Eukaryota; Viridiplantae; Streptophyta; Magnoliopsida; Poales; Poaceae. The record is from RNAcentral.